RNAcentral lists this ribosomal RNA (515 nucleotides) under Helicobacter pylori. Its description in RNAcentral is "partial 23S ribosomal RNA". It matches the Rfam family "Bacterial large subunit ribosomal RNA", at positions 1746 to 2270 of the family's 2925-position model. The record is from RNAcentral. Lineage: Bacteria; Pseudomonadati; Campylobacterota; Epsilonproteobacteria; Campylobacterales; Helicobacteraceae.
AGGUGCCGCAGCAAUGCGGUCUCAGCAAAGAGUCCCUCCCGACUGUUUACCAAAAACACAGCACUUUGCCAACUCGUAAGAGGAAGUAUAAGGUGUGACGCCUGCCCGGUGCUCGAAGGUUAAGAGGAUGCGUCAGUCGCAAGAUGAAGCGUUGAAUUGAAGCCCGAGUAAACGGCGGCCGUAACUAUAACGGUCCUAAGGUAGCGAAAUUCCUUGUCGGUUAAAUACCGACCUGCAUGAAUGGCGUAACGAGAUGGGAGCUGUCUCAACCAGAGAUUCAGUGAAAUUGUAGUGGAGGUGAAAAUUCCUCCUACCCGCGGCAAGACGGAAAGACCCCGUGGACCUUUACUACAACUUAGCACUGCUAAUGGGAAUAUCAUGCGCAGGAUAGGUGGGAGGCUUUGAAGUAAGGGCUUUGGCUCUUAUGGAGCCAUCCUUGAGAUACCACCCUUGAUGUUUCUGUUAGCUAACUGGCCUGUGUUAUCCACAGGCAGGACAAUGCUUGGUGGGUAGUU